Molecule: long non-coding RNA, 280 nt
Organism: Centrocercus urophasianus (Greater sage-grouse)
Lineage: Eukaryota; Metazoa; Chordata; Aves; Galliformes; Phasianidae
Exons: 3
Source: RefSeq, a predicted model, not a curated record
CAUGCCGUUCCCUCGGGCCCUGUCGCCGUCACGCAGAGCGGAGCUCAGCGCUGCCCUUCUGCUCCCUGUGAAGAACUGUGGGCUGCCAUGAUGUCUCCAACUAAAGAGCCCACUGUCCACAUAAGAUCUUAUGCACUGAAUUCAUGGCCUGAAAAUGUCAGUAGGGAUGGCAGUUUCUGCGGAAGCUCAAUUCUGGGAUGAAACGAAGCUUUUUUGGACCUCGACCUGUGCUUUACAGGUGAAUGGAAAUUGACCCUGCCUGUCCAUGGAUGACCUGCAG